GACGAACGCUGGCGGCGUGCUUAACACAUGCAAGUCGAACGAAGAGCGAUGGAAGCUUGCUUCUAUCAAUCUUAGUGGCGAACGGGUGAGUAACGCGUAAUCAACCUGCCCUUCAGAGGGGGACAACAGUUGGAAACGACUGCUAAUACCGCAUACGAUCUAAUCUCGGCAUCGAGGAUAGAUGAAAGGUGGCCUCUACAUGUAAGCUAUCACUGAAGGAGGGGAGUGCGUCUGAUUAGCUAGUUGGAGGGGUAACGGCCCACCAAGGCGAUGAUCAGUAGCCGGUCUGGGAGGAUGGACGGCCACAUUGGGACUGAGACACGGCCCAGACUCCUACGGGAGGCAGCAGUGGGGAAUCUUCCGCAAUGGACGAAAGUCUGACGGAGCAACGCCGCGUGAGUGAUGACGGCCUUCGGGUUGUAAAGCUCUGUUAAUCGGGACGAAAGGCCUUCUUGCGAAUAGUGAGAAGGAUUGACGGUACCGGAAUAGAAAGCCACGGCUAACUACGUG
This 510-nucleotide ribosomal RNA is filed under the name uncultured bacterium. RNAcentral's name for it is "partial 16S ribosomal RNA". It matches the Rfam family "Bacterial small subunit ribosomal RNA", at positions 28 to 507 of the family's 1533-position model. The record is from RNAcentral.